UCAAGAGAGCCGGGCGGCGGAAGCGCUGCCAAUCCGGUCAGGCCCGAGAGGGAGCAGCCGUAACAGUUGUUUUCGGGUGCCCGGCUCCCUAAAGGG
Molecule: non-coding RNA, 96 nt
Rfam family: Bacterial small signal recognition particle RNA
About the family: The signal recognition particle (SRP) is a universally conserved ribonucleoprotein involved in the co-translational targeting of proteins to membranes. Archaeal SRP consists of a 7S RNA and homologues of the eukaryotic SRP19 and SRP54 proteins.
Source: Rfam